This 90-nucleotide transfer RNA is filed under the name Actinomyces slackii. Its description in RNAcentral is "tRNA-Ala(cgc)". Lineage: Bacteria; Bacillati; Actinomycetota; Actinomycetes; Actinomycetales; Actinomycetaceae. The record is from RNAcentral.
UGGGGCUGAUGGGCAGUCUUCCCGUGCCCGACGGCUCGCGCCCGCCGGUGGCCAGCCCGGCCAUGGAGUGCCUGUCCUCCGCCGCCCUGG